RNAcentral lists this ribosomal RNA (272 nucleotides) under uncultured soil bacterium. RNAcentral describes it as "partial 16S ribosomal RNA". It matches the Rfam family "Bacterial small subunit ribosomal RNA", at positions 26 to 298 of the family's 1533-position model. The record is from RNAcentral.
AGGACGAACGCUGGCGGCGUGCUUAACACAUGCAAGUCGAGCGGUAAGGCCUUUCGGGGUACACGAGCGGCGAACGGGUGAGUAACACGUGGGUGAUCUGCCCUGCACUUCGGGAUAAGCCUGGGAAACUGGGUCUAAUACCGGAUAUGACCUCCUAUCGCAUGGUGGGUGGUAGGAAAGAUUUUAUCGGUGCAGGAUCGGGCCCGCGGCCUAUCAGUCUUGUUAGGUGGGUAAUGGCCUACCGAAGCGACGACGGGUACGCCGACCUGGAG